UCAUUCUUACAGAAACGCCCUGCAGAAGCGGAUGGAGACGCCCUAGAUGAUGGAGCGCGAUUGAGGUGGACUCCUCCUAGAAUCCAGCCCGUCGGUGGCGGUGGUGGUGGAGGCGGAAGCGGAGCCUUCUCCAGGUGCGUGAUCCUCGCCGCGGUCUCCACUGUCUUGGAGAGAAGCGUGCCCAGCGACUUGUCGGUGGUAGCUCGCCACACCUCGAAUCCCGUUCAUCUUGUCCAGCAUCUGCUGCAUCAUCUCCAUGAUGUUCUCGACAUUGCUCGCCAUAUUCGCCUGCAACGAUGGGGUCUUCUUCUUCGGCGCCAGCCCGGAGUCGACGAAGAGAGCGGAAAAAAAAAUUCCGGCCGAGGAUUGAGGGCUCUCGAUACCAAGGCCUUGUUAUUUAGUUCAAAAAAAAUUUUGCAAAAUUUUUCAAAUUCCCCGUCACAUCGAAUCUUUAGACGUAUGCAUGAAGUAUUAAAUAUAGACGAAAAUAAAAACUAAUUACAAUAGUUCGGUCGGAAUUGACGAGACGAAUCUUUUGAGCCUAGUUAGUUUAUGAUUGGACAAUAUUUGUCAAAUACAAACGAAAUUAGUACUAUUUAUAUUUUGCAAAAUAUUUUGGAACUAAACAAGACCCAAUUGUUCUUCGAUAGCUUUGUACACCAACCCCGUCGAGGCCCUACGCCUACUCGGGCAAAGCCCAGAAUACAAGCCCACAUCACGAUAGACUACACUAGCCACUCUUGGUGCUUCUCCUGAAUAUCUUUACGGGCCUUAUCUUGAUCAUGACAAACUAUGUAGAAAAACACUGUCUUUUGGAUUUUACCAUAACGUUAUCACAGGCAUACUACUAGAGUUGUAAACAAAUGUGCCACAUUUGAAGUAUGAACACUUAACUAAAUCCUGAUCUGGGCGGCCAUGAUCGUAAACAUAUAUUCCCUCGAUUAUAGAAUAAGGUAUCAUAAUAAUUCUAGCUUGUAUUAUUGCGUAAGGCAAACAACACAUGUAACCCUCUGAUCAACUUAAUCAUCGAGAGAGAUUGUGAUUGGGUUGGUGAUAGAUAUCUAUGGUAGGAUAAAGUCCACUUCUGGAUCAUCAACUUACAUGACGUCUGAUUUUCUACCCUUGAACUAAGAAGCUGGGCACCAUAUAGUUUGAAAGGUUGUUGUCUGUUUUCUGAAGUAAUACAAUUCUGGUGUAUUAUCUAAAUGUAUUAUAAAACUAGAGAAUUGGAAAGACGUAGUGCCAAUCUUCUUAGAAAGUCUUAUCUAUCUGUCAUUGAUCCACUUAGUGUUAUUUGGAAGUUGUGUGGCUAUAUAUGAGCAACUAAAUAAUAGGAAUAUAAAUAAAAAGAUUCAGAUAAUAACUCUAGACCACCAAUAGAUAGGUAAUAUUUUUAGGAAAAAAUAUAACUAAUUAUAUAUCUUUUAUGUUUUAGAUAUAACUUUUAGAGUUUAAUCGAGAGUUUAUUAUUUUAGAAAGUAGAAAGCUGCCUUGAAAUCACAUCGGACAGGUUGGGGAUGGUGUUUCCUACAAUUUCGAUAGUUAGACGGUGUUGGCACUGGACUCCUCUUCGGCGUGUGUGCGCUUUGAUGGCUCCUGUGUGUGGCUCUGUGCACUCCUCUCACGUAAUGUGGUUGUCCAGUAACGUGAGUUGUUUACCUUUCUUCUCUCUCAUGUCUACUUUCUUCUUUUUUCUGAACUAACGAAACAUGCCCGUGCGUUACAACGAGAUUUAAUAUAUUUUGAAAUUAGAUUCUAUAUUGUGGCUAGAUGUGAGCUGUCAUAACUUGUACGAGAAUGAGAUAUUAGGUUCAUAUCUUAUCACAUACAAGAUGUAUAAGACGCGAUGGCAGUUUGAGAUUAAAAAAUAGAUCCUCAAUACAAAGAUGCAAGGACACUAAGAAUUUUAAAAAAGUAAGUUUUUAAUACAUUUUGGAUGAGAGAAUCGUUACAUCACUGGACGUGAAUUGCUCUGUUUAUAUAAAUACGAGUUAUAGAUCCAAGUCACACAGGAGAUAUGGAGCUAAAACAUUAUUGGUAUAGUAUAUCUAUAUACCUAAUAUUUUUUUCACCAAAGCUAUAUUUACGUUUUUGUUCUUAGAAAACUCACCUAGCAUGUGAAAAGCUUAGCAUCAUCAGGCUUAAUCACAUCACCGCUCUUUCAUGUUCCUCUCUCAAUUCUUGUUCCGUCCUAGCCUUGUAACACUUUCACGUGAGUAGCAGCAUAUAAUCUCUCUUAUGGUCUCCAUUUAUUUUUAUGUGAAAAAUUAGGAUUAGCCUAAUUCAGGAUAAUGUACUUAAAAUUUAAACAAUGCAUAAUUAUAAAUGAUAGCUAUUUUUUUGAUAGGAAAAUGAGAGCUAAUUGAAAAAUGCAUAAAAAACGAAAUCUUAUUCAGCACAGUUGACUACCUUUUAUUUUUUUCUUCUUUAAUUAUCGAAACAACCGCACGCCUCUUCUUUUCCUUGUAUUUUUUGUCUCCCAUAUUAUUUCAUCUUGUCCACAAAACCGUAGGUCCUUAUCUGCAUCGUUCGUCUAAGCGUUUCUUCUACCUCCGGUUCUUCUUUAACGGGCCGCCAUGCCUCGAUGUCGGUUCCCGUGUCGCCUCUAGCUCCAUGCCCCGAUGUACCCUCGCCCUUCCCUCCCCAAAUCAGUGCCCCUCACCCCUCUUCCUCCCUGUGGCGCCGCCGCCUCCCAUCCCCAAAUUAGUGCCAUGCCAAAGCGGACCAAGGACACGGGCUGGGGCCAUGGGGACGAGAAGGAGCCGAGCGAAGUUGUUUUUUUUUUGGCUCUAGGUGCGCAUUCUAGCUCUAGUCAGCAGAUAGGCUGGGCACUUUUAAGCCGAAAAACAAAAACCACACCGAACCCAACCAAACUGGAUCCAAAAUAUCGGUUUUUAUGGUUAGCAGUAUCGGUUACGGUUCUAGUACCUGGGAUGUUCAGUGAUCGGCUUCAGCUUUGGUUUCGCUAGCCGACCAAACCGAGAAGCCAUGAAACCGAGCAAACAGUGACAAGUCAUGAGUCCUCAUCCAUCUCCAUGUCAGUGCUCUCGCUCUGUAAGCCUAAGUCACGCCGAAGGCCGAUCUCAAGUCAGCCCAUCACCAAUUUACCAUCCCUUACUCACCCAAUCACCUACCUUCACCUUAUCCUUUCGUGGCACAACUGCACGAGCACGAGCGAGUACACAGACAGCGAGCCGCUGAGUAGAAAUUGAAUCGAAGUGGCGGCGCAUCGAUAACGAGCGGGAUGGCGCGGUCGCGACGCUGCGUCGCCUGUGUGGCUACGCAUCGACGGGCGCGCCAGCUGCGGGCCGUAAUCGGCGCCGCCUCCUCCUCCCCGCCGAAGCUGAUCACGGGCCCACCGCCGGGGCCAUAGGGCCCCAACGGGAUGCCAGUGAACUGCUGCACCAUGGCGCGGAUGUUGGAGGUGUCCGUGUUGAGCAGCGUGAUGGGCGUGUGGCGGGACACGCGGGCUUCCCUACGCGCCCGCCCUCCACCCUCCUGACCCCGGGCGGCUGCUGCUGCUGCGGCUGCGUGCGGGUCGGGCUGCCGCCACUGGACCCGCCGUACCACUUGGGGGAGCUCCAUCCGACCCAUCCACACCUUCUCCACCGUCGAGGACUUCUGGGUGUGCAUCCUAUUCUCUCCCUUCCUCCCCCUCCAUCGCAAACCCCUGUCUCACGGAUCUGUGAUCUUAGAUUAGUUGAUUGAUUGAUGCAUCAAUUUCUCACUCUGCUUAUUCGAUAGCUUCUUUCUACCCAGAGUUCUUUGAUUAAAUCUGUGCUCUUGUUUUGAUCUCGAUCUGUUGCAGGCUGUCCUCAGUUUGGUUCUCUUGCAUCUGGUGGUGUUGAUUCGAUUUUCCCUAUGUCUUCGAUUGUUGGAUUCCUGUGUUGAGAACGAUCUGGACUUCGGCAGGUCCGUGGACUCACAGACGGACGUCGUGCUGUGUUCAGAUACAAUUUAUUUUGUUUGUUUUCUUUUUGCAUUGUUAUGGAAUAGGUUGAGGGUAGACGAAAAUUUUCACCAGACAAAAAUUUUGGCUGAAAUUUUGGCUCUUUAGUAUUAGGUAUAUAUAGAUAUAGAUAUAGAUAUAGAUAUAGAUAUGAGUUAUUCUCCUUUGUGGGCUGUUCUCCUUUUUUCUUUGUUUUUUCUUCUUUCUCACGUGUACUUUUCUUUGAGCCGGUCUAUUCUAUGAGUUUUUCUUUCUCAGAACAGCGGGGAUGUGGAUGAGAAAAAGAGCAGGAGGAUAGUUUCAUAUAAAAGUACUAUUUUUAAAUUUCAUAUAUCUCAUUUUUCAUAUACUUUAUACAGAGUUAACAAUUCAACCUGUAAAAAAAAUAAAACUUUUGAUUAUUAAAAUUUAAAAAAUCCAAGAAAAAUGAGUACAUCAUAUUUGUAGAAGAUGAAAAAUAGGUACAAAUAAAAAGCACUUGUGGGUUCUGUUCUUUGGGACCAAAGAAAAUUGCCACAAAUACCCUAGAAGGUAAACAUAUUUUAAAAGAUACGUAAACUUAAAAAUUCCUAAUGUAAGACUCCAAGUUUUGAAAAACUUUGUACUACAACAUUUAAAAUUUUAUACUCCUAAGUGCAAAACUUUAUCAUCACGAAAAUUGUUUCAAAACAUAUUCAACAUGGAUCUACUUUUAUAGAUCUCGUCAAAAUGAAUGUAAUGGUACAAACAGAAUUAAAAAUAAAUGCUUGACAAGAAAGUUAUCACAUUUUAAAGUUUUGUAUACCAUAUGCAUAUUUCGUAUAAAUAUGAUAUGACACACGAAUGCGCCUCCUACCCUCUCCCGCACGUCCACACUCCACGAUCAGUGACAGGAAAAGAAAAGAAAAUAAAUACAAAAUAGAAAGUGGAUAACCAAAAUAGAAAGUGGAUACAUAGUAUUCGCAACAAGUGACAAUAAGAAGAAAGAAAAAAGAAGUAUGCACUGGAAGGUCGCUUGGCGCACACGCGUUAUAUAAGUACCUUGUUUCGAAGUUUAAGGUUGAAAAUCAGACUUGUGCAAUUCUGGAGUUUGAAAAUGAAAGCAACUCUGAGAGUAUCCAAUAUUUUCUCCUAAAAACAUUGUCACACGCAAAUUUCAGGGACGAAAUAGGAUGCAUAAAGGAUUCAUGUGCACUCUAGAAAUAAUCGCACAUAUAAGUAGACAAAUCUCAAAUAGUACCAUCACAAUGUUUAUUACAGAACGGAUAAAUAUUCAUCACAUAGUCUUAAACAAUAAUAAUAGUUCUAAUAAAUAAAAUCUUGAC
Molecule: long non-coding RNA, 5253 nt
Filed under: Sorghum bicolor (sorghum)
Lineage: Eukaryota; Viridiplantae; Streptophyta; Magnoliopsida; Poales; Poaceae
Description: long non-coding RNA (SBIC_LNC009236)
Source: RNAcentral